UGUUGUGCACUCUUCCAGGCCCGCACACCCUGCACCGAGUGAGCGAGUGCUCUGGGAGCUGCUGGACCCACGGUUCGAGUCCAUCCUUGGCUCACACCCCCACAGUUACCAGCUCAAGCUCAUGGAGAGAGCCAGGAAUGCAAGGAGGAGUAAAGAACGAGAGCAAUGACUGAAAAGGGACCCAUCCCCCUGGCCGAGGUUAGAGACAUAAAUGGAAGAAACUUGUGCAUUCCCAUUUGUAUGCAGGAUAGUUUCUUGAAGGUUGAAAAGAUGUUUUCUGAUAAACAAGAUGCCUGA
RNAcentral lists this long non-coding RNA (297 nucleotides) under Chinchilla lanigera (long-tailed chinchilla). Its description in RNAcentral is "lncRNA (ENSCLAG00000023789.1)". The record is from RNAcentral. Lineage: Eukaryota; Metazoa; Chordata; Mammalia; Rodentia; Chinchillidae.